AUUGAACGCUGGCGGCAGGCCUAACACAUGCAAGUCGAGCGGUAGAGAGGUGCUUGCAUCUCUUGAGAGCGGCGGACGGGUGAGUAAUGCCUAGGAAUCUGCCUAGUGGUGGGGGAUAACGUUCGGAAACGGACGCUAAUACCGCAUACGUCCUACGGGAGAAAGCGGGGGAUCUUCGGACCUCGCGCCAUUAGAUGAGCCUAGGUCGGAUUAGCUAGUUGGUGAGGUAAUGGCUCACCAAGGCGACGAUCCGUAACUGGUCUGAGAGGAUGAUCAGUCACACUGGAACUGAGACACGGUCCAGACUCCUACGGGAGGCAGCAGUGGGGAAUAUUGGACAAUGGGCGAAGCCUGAUCCAGCCAUGCCGCGUGUGUGAAGAAGGUCUUCGGAUUGUAAAGCACUUUAA
RNAcentral lists this ribosomal RNA (407 nucleotides) under uncultured bacterium. Its description in RNAcentral is "bacterial SSU rRNA". It matches the Rfam family "Bacterial small subunit ribosomal RNA", at positions 30 to 438 of the family's 1533-position model. The record is from RNAcentral.